GCCUGCCCCGGGACCUGGCAGUACCCUGAGGGGCGGCGGGACGGGAGCUGGGAACCGCUCCUGCCCCUUCCUUCCCGCCUGCCCCGGGACCUGGCAGUACCCUGAGGGGCGGCGGGACGGGAGCUGCCACUGUCAAUGCCAGGGGCCGGGACCCGCUCUUGCCCCUUCCUACGUGUCCCGUGUUCUGGAAACGACCCGACAGCCUCGGCCGUAUCCCAGCCUGUCGCUAGGGAAAUAGAAACCCAACAGUGGGACCAGGUGGAGAGGGAGGGAGAAAGGGGCCUCUGGCGGAUGUAAAGCCCUCAGCAAACAGUCCUGGAAGUACAUUUGAGAUUCUCUCAAAUACCAGCUGAAUUUAUGACCCUUAGUGAAGAGCAGGGAGGAAUCUUUUCAAAAUACUUUCCAGCUGGCAGCACUUUAUAUAGACCCUUGUAACUGAAUAAAAGGAACCCCUGGAGGGGCAGGUGCCACCCUGUGGAAGGACAAAUCCCUCUGAAGUGCCUAUGGUCUUGCCUAGUGAAAAAGGAGAUGCCAGAAAUAAUGUCUCCCCACCAGAAGAAGGCAGUGCAGGCUUGGUCCUCUCAAGUUUUCCACCAAACCUGAUCAAGUGAGGAAGAUGGUGGGUGCCGGACAGCCCCUUGGUGGCUGACUUGGAGGCUGUCACCUGCCUAAGAGUUGCAGUGGUGAAGAGACUUCUAUGAAACAUUUGCCUCCUCAGCUACUUGUCUAACUCCAGUUGCACAGAGGAUUCCCCAGUAGACAUCAGCUGGGAAACCUUCAGAAGCAAAAGAUGUUUCUUGGAUGGAUGAGCCCACCAAAACCAAAAGAGCUGAGACUUAGUUUGAACAGAGUUUUCACUCUGGGAUAUGCCAAUACAAGAGGAGCUCAGCACCCAAAACUAACAGCAUUUCAGGAACAAUAAGAUCAGUGAAAUACUGCCAGCCUGUGACAGUCAAACAAGUCUGUGGAUGCCGAAUUGGACAGCCAAACACAUUCUGCCAGUAUGCCUGGAGCAUACGCCUACCAGACAAAUACAACCAACCCGCCAGUAAAACAGUUGCUAAAAACAUACCCACGUGUAUAGUUCAGGCCAUCCCGCCAUGUAAGAGUGAGGGCUAGGACUCAAUUUUCAGUUUAAUAGAGAUUCAGCCAUCAAAAAACCACUGGAGUCUUUUCACAAGCAAACACAUUCCCCAGCACUGGUGGCUGAAGAACGAAACAGUGCUGACUCAACACAACCCAAAAUGCUGUUUGUCUUAUGGGGACUGCCCAAAGGCACCCACUGUGGUUAGGAUGUAGUUGUGCUGGGCACUGCACAGAAAGACAAGCAGACACAAUAUCCUGCCCUUGAGGCUUGAAUCUCUGAAUCUUUUGAAUCUCUCUCAAAGCCCUUCUGGCAAUAUGAAACAGAAGAUGCAGGCAGAACUGGGGAACAACGACAAAAAUCCACCAUUGCAGCACCCCAGUGCUUGGCACAGCUUGGUGGUUUCAUGCCAUCACAGGUUUGAGCAGAGCACGAUGUACAGCUCACACUGGUAUUUCAGACAUACAUAGGGGCACUUUCCCCCAGCCUCUAUGCUUGAAAAAUACACUGCACAUCAAUGCUUGCCCAUUACAAUUGCUGCCUAUGCAAGUCUUCUAUAUAUUUAUAAAUGUGUGUGUAUAAAAAUAGAAUAAAACAAAUAUAUAUCAGUGACCCCUACUGGUCAUUUCUAGCUAGCCACAAAAUUGUGCAGCAGCAGUGAGCUCUUGCCUGUUGCCGAGGUGCAGUAUUUCGAUGUGAGGCACAGAGUGCAGAGCCUGGCAGUGGUGUAUUCGUGUUCUUUGCACUCACUUUGUGCUGGCUGCAUCACUCCUGGGGGCAGGCAGCUGAAAUCGGGAUUUUCUGACCUCAAGUAUUUGUUUGUGGCAUCCCACUCAUUUCUCUGCUCACCGCCAGCUCCACGCCACAAUCCCAGCUCUUGCACUGAGCCCUUUGCAGGUGCCUCCAACUCUUACUCUGCACAGUUGCAGGGCUCUGCAAGAGACCAGGUAUUGGGCUGUGACUUUAUACAGGGUAUUUUUUCCAGAAGAAUUCAGUUCCCAGCUGGGACCCACACCACAGAUACCACUGCUCUUCGAGGUCAGAUCCCUACAGAAGGAGCUGCCCCAGCACUGCACAGUUUCUCCUCCCAGCAGCCUCACCUUAGCCCCACCAAAGCUCACUGUAAAUUCUUCACCCCACUGGGAGCUAAAUCCAGCAUGAGUACUGCUGUGCAGCAGAGACUGAAGGGCCCUCCUGGCCAGUGAUUUACCUUGGUGAAGGAGUGGAGAGAAUGUGCCUGACAGGCAGGAUGGCUGCUCCAAUGCAAGGCAAAACCCCAUGGAAAGCAAAGGCUGGAGUCACUCUGGCAGCCUCAGACCAAGACUCAAGGGGCUCUGCCUCCCUUCCCUUUCGUCAAAACUUGUUUAGCUUGUCAUGCUAAUAAAGUGUUUGAAAUGAA
Molecule: long non-coding RNA, 2483 nt
Organism: Vidua macroura (Pin-tailed whydah)
Lineage: Eukaryota; Metazoa; Chordata; Aves; Passeriformes; Viduidae
Exons: 2
Source: RefSeq, a predicted model, not a curated record